RNAcentral lists this ribosomal RNA (63 nucleotides) under Phaseolus vulgaris (common bean). Its description in RNAcentral is "partial large subunit ribosomal RNA". The record is from RNAcentral. Lineage: Eukaryota; Viridiplantae; Streptophyta; Magnoliopsida; Fabales; Fabaceae.
GAGACCUCAGGUCAGGCGGGGCUACCCGCUGAGUUUAAGCAUAUCAAUAGCCGGGAGAAACAA